RNAcentral lists this ribosomal RNA (120 nucleotides) under uncultured bacterium. Its description in RNAcentral is "partial 16S ribosomal RNA". It matches the Rfam family "Bacterial small subunit ribosomal RNA", at positions 796 to 916 of the family's 1533-position model. The record is from RNAcentral.
CACGCCGUAAACGAUGAGCACUAGGUGUCGGGGCCGCAAGGUUUCGGUGCCGCAGUUAACGCAUUAAGUGCUCCGCCUGGGGAGUACGUGCGCAAGCAUGAAACUCAAAGGAAUUGACGG